GGAUUAGAUACCCUAUUAUUGUAGAUAUAAUUUAUUUAAACUUGAGUAGUAUUAGUUAUGGUCUUAAAACUUAAAGAAUUUGGCGGUAUCUUAGUCUGUUCAGAGGAAUCUGUCCUAUAAUCGAUAGUCCGCGUUGAACCUUACUUGAUUUUAUUUAGUAUGUAUACCGCCGUUUAUUGAAAAUCUUUUUAGGGUAUUUUCUUGAAAUUUUAUUUAGUAGUAUUUCAGGUCAAGGUGCAGCUUAUAAUUAAGUGGAGAUGGAUUACAUUUCAAUAAUGAAUAAUGAAUUAUUAGUUGUAAUUUUAGUAUGAAGGUGGAUUUGAUAGUAAUUUUGUAUAUAUUGUUGUUGUGAUUAGAGCUCUAAGAUGUGCACACAUCGCCCGUCGCUCUCGUUAAUUAAGAUGAGAUAAGUC
Molecule: ribosomal RNA, 413 nt
Filed under: Pycnoscelus surinamensis (Surinam cockroach)
Lineage: Eukaryota; Metazoa; Arthropoda; Insecta; Blattodea; Blaberidae
Description: partial 12S ribosomal RNA
Source: RNAcentral